This 3201-nucleotide ribosomal RNA is filed under the name wastewater metagenome. RNAcentral's name for it is "bacterial LSU rRNA". It matches the Rfam family "Bacterial large subunit ribosomal RNA". The record is from RNAcentral.
AAAAGUUACUCAAGCGCACACAAAGGAUGCCUUGACGCAAGAUACCGAUGAAGGACGUAGUAGGCUGCGAAAAGCUUCGGGGAGCUGCCAAACAAGCUUUGAACCGAAGAUAUCCGAAUGGGGAAACCCGGCUAGAGUAAUGUCUAGUCACCUGUGCCUGAAUAUAUAGGGCAUUUGGCGGGAACUGGGGGAACUGAAACAUCUUAGUACCCCAUGGAAAAGAAAGUAAACAACGAUGCCGGAAGUAGUGGCGAGCGAAACCGGUACAGCCCAAACCUUUUAGAUUUCCGUUUGUUCGCAAACGGAUAAGUUGAUAGACGAAUAUCUACAAGGGGUUGUGACACUACAAACACCCAGUCCUGAUGAACUAUCCUCGGAUAGAGCAUCGGGAUUGGUAGCAGGGGCUAUCACUACCCUGCAUAAGGUUACAAAUUUGCGAAGCGAGCAGAACUGUUUGGAAAGACAGGCCAGAGACGGUGAUAGCCCGGUAUGCCAAGCGUCGCAAACCUUAUAUUUGUAGGAGUUUGUAUUUGAACUUGUUCAAAGCCAAACUCGUAUGUCGAGUAGGUCGGAACACGAGAAACUCUGACUGAAUCUGGGACGACCACGUCCCAAGGCUAAAUAUAUCUUGCGAUCGAUAGUGAACUAGUACCGCGAGGGAAAGGUUAAAAGAACCCCGGAAGGGGAGUGAAAUAGAACCUGAAAUUGUGUGCGUACAAGGACUGGGAGCCCUUCGGGGUGACCGGGUGCUUUUUGUAGAACGAUCCAACGAGUUAAUUCUUGGUGCCAGCCUAAACCAUUUGGUGGAGGCGCAGUGAAAGCGAGCCUGAAUAGGGCGAAUUAGUACCAAGGAUUAGACCCGAAACCAGGUGACCUAACCAUGGGCAGGUUGAAGCGUAGGUAAAACUACGUGGAGGACCGAACCGUCGAGUAUUGCAACACUCUCGGAUGACCUGUGGUUAGCGGUGAAAUGCCAAUCGAACCUGGAGAUAGCUGGUUCUCCUCGAAAUAGCUUUAGGGCUAGCGUCGUACGGUAGCACAAUGGGGUAGAGCUCUGAUUCGGACUGGGGCCCUCACGGGUACCCACCCUUGUCAAACUACGAAUACGUUGUGUGGAACUACGGCAGUCAGAACGGCGGGGCUAAGCUCGUCGCUCGAAAGGGAAACAGCCCAGAUCAUCAGCUAAGGUCCCUAAAUGUAUGUUAAGUGGGAAACGAGGUGAGAUUUCUUAAACAACGAGGAUGUUGGCUUAGAAGCAGCCAUUCAUUUAAAGAGUGCGUAACAGCUCACUCGUCAAGAGAUCUUGCGCGGAAAAUGUAACGGGGCUAAACAUACUACCGAAGCUAUGGAUGUCACAUUUAUGUGGCGUGGUAGAGGAGCGUUGAUAGGGCGUUGAAGUUGGACUGCGAGGUCUGGUGGAGCGCUAUCAAGUGAGAAUGUUGGAAUGAGUAACCAUAAGGCAGGUGAGAAUCCUGCCCGCCGAAAGAGCAAGGUUUCCUGGGCCACGGUAAUCGUCCCAGGGUUAGUCGGUCCUAAGCCGAGGCGCGUAGCGUAGGCGAUGGACAACGGGUUAAUAUUCCCGUACUAGCUAUGUAUUGUUCAGUGUGCGCGGCAUAUUAGUUGGAGCGGGUUCAUGGUUAUAUCCGUCUAAGUAUCAGAAAUAGGUACGAAUGAGAUGGCCAUUAGGCUAGAUUCCAGUGAAAGUGCUGACCAGAAAAGCAACUGAACGCGUGUACAUAGCUAUCCGUACCGCAAACCGACACAGGUGCUCAGGUCGAGUAGACCCAGGCGUACGAGUGAUUCUUCGUUAAGGAACUCGGCAAUUUAGCGACCGUAACUUCGGGAUAAGGUCUGCCCCGUCACUAUGUUUACAAACUAGUGACAUUGCCAGUUUUCUUUCUUAGAAAACAGAAAUGAUAUCGAGAUUAAUUUGAGACAACACAUCAGAAGGAAGAGAGCUGACUCUGUUUACUAUGUCUUUGCAGAUAUAGUGACGGGGCCGCAGCUAAGGAGCCCACGCAACUGUUUACCAAAAACACAGGUCUCUGCGAACACGAAAGUGGAUGUAUAGGGGCUGACUCCUGCCCGGUGCUGGAAGGUUAAGGGGAGUGCUUUACGGUGCGAACUGAAGCCCCAGUGAACGGCGGCGGUAACUAUAACCGUCCUAAGGUAGCGAAAUUCCUUGUCUGGUAAGUUCAGACCCGCACGAAUGGAGUAAUGAUGUGGGCACUGUCUCAACGAAGAGCUCGGUGAAAGUGCAUUGACGGUAAAGAUGCCGUCUGUCCGCAGCAGGACGAAAAGACCCCGUGGAGCUUUACUACAGUUUGACAUUGUGUCGAGCUGCAACAUGUGUAGCAUAGGUGGGAGACUUUGAAACUUAGACGCUAGUCUAGGUGGAGUCGCAAUAUGAAAUACCACCCUUGUUGUAGUUUUACACUCACGGGGACCACAAAGAGUAGAAGUCACAGCACGUUUUGAUAUAUAACGGAGCAUGAUGACGUCUAUUCUUUCUGGUCCCUGGACAGUGUCUGAUGGGUAGUUUAACUGGGGCGGUUGCCUCCUAAAGAGUAGCGGAGGCGUUCAAAGGUUGGCUAGGUUCGGAUGGAAAUCGAAUCGAUAGUGCAAGCGCAUAAGCCAGCUUGACUGUGAGGACUACAAUCCAAGCAGACGCGAAAGCGGGAGCUAGUGAUCCGUCAUACGUACAUUUAUGUACAUGAACGUGGGAUCGAUGACGCAAACGGAUAAAAGUUACCCCGGGGAUAACAGGCUUAUAGCGCCCAAUAGUUCACAUAGACGGCGCUGUUUGGCACCUCGAUGUCGGCUCAUCUCAUCCUGGAGGGGGAGCACCUUCCAAGGGUCCGGCUGUUCGCCGGUUAAAGAGGUACGCGAGCUGGGUUCAGAACGUCGUGAGACAGUUCGGUUUAUAUCCGCUGUGGACGAUAGGAAAUUUGAGAGAAUCUGCCCCUAGUACGAGAGGACCGGGGUGGACGCACCGCUGGUGUAUCGGUUGUUCUACCAAGAGCAUUGCCGAGUAGCUAUGUGCGGAAUAGAUAAGCGCUGAAAGCAUAUUAAGCGCGAAACUAGUCUCAAGAUUAGAUUUCCCUAUGAGGACACUGAAAGACGAUCAGUUUGAUAGGCGCAAGGUGGAAGUACGGUAACGUAUGGAGCCGAAGCGUACUAAUAGUCCCAUUGACUUUUUAC